This 332-nucleotide unclassified non-coding RNA is filed under the name soil metagenome. RNAcentral's name for it is "partial contains 5.8S ribosomal RNA, internal transcribed spacer 2, and large subunit ribosomal RNA". The stretch from base 1 to 120 matches the Rfam family "5.8S ribosomal RNA", at positions 35 to 154 of the family's 154-position model. The record is from RNAcentral.
GAUGAAGAACGCAGCGAAAUGCGAUAAGUAGUGUGAAUUGCAGAAUUCAGUGAAUCAUCGAAUCUUUGAACGCACAUUGCGCCCUUUGGUAUUCCUUAGGGCAUGCCUGUUCGAGCGUCAUUUAAACCUUCAAGCUCAGCUUGGUGUUGGGUGACUGUCCGCUUCACCGCGGACUCGCCUCAAAAUUAUUGGCGGCCGGUACAUUGGCUUCGAGCGCAGCAGAAACGCGAACUCGGGCCCGUCGUAUUGGCUCCCAGAAGCUAUCUUCACAAUUUUGACCUCGGAUCAGGUAGGGAUACCCGCUGAACUUAAGCAUAUCAAUAAGCGGAUGA